UACGGGGGGGGCAAGCGUUGUUCGGAAUUACUGGGCGUAAAGGGCGCGUAGGCGGCCUGCUAAGUCGGAUGUGAAAUCCCUCGGCUCAACCGAGGAACUGCAUCCGAUACUGGCGGGCUGGAAUCCGGGAGAGGGAUGUGGAAUUCCAGGUGUAGCGGUGAAAUGCGUAGAUAUCUGGAGGAACACCGGUGGCGAAGGCGGCAUCCUGGACCGGUAUUGACGCUGAGGCGCGACAGCAUGGGGAGCGAACGGG
RNAcentral lists this ribosomal RNA (253 nucleotides) under uncultured bacterium. RNAcentral's name for it is "partial 16S ribosomal RNA". It matches the Rfam family "Bacterial small subunit ribosomal RNA", at positions 524 to 776 of the family's 1533-position model. The record is from RNAcentral.